RNAcentral lists this long non-coding RNA (377 nucleotides) under Phoenix dactylifera (date palm). RNAcentral describes it as "long non-coding RNA (PDAC_LNC017961)". The record is from RNAcentral. Lineage: Eukaryota; Viridiplantae; Streptophyta; Magnoliopsida; Arecales; Arecaceae.
AGCUUGUGUAUGGUCCAGACAUCACCGAGCACCCAAGUAUAAAUUAGCCUUACAACUCUCUAACGGAAACUUAAUGACUUCAACUUAAGUUGCAUCUUGACCUAGAAUUUGGGCUGACUUAGUAAUAAAACUUUGUGUGUUUUUGAAAUUCUUGGCACUUAUGCAUUUGAAAUUAGAUUUUAUAAAACAAUAAAAUAAACUGGGUAGAGACCGCAGUUUGUGGGUAUCUGAGCCGGAAACCCUCACGAGACAAAACUCGUCCACUAGGGCCACCUAGAGGUUUAAAGCCUUAUUGCAUACGGUAAAUGCAAUCGCGAUUCCUGCGAAAGUGAGUUAGUUUUUAUUUUUGCUCGAGGACUAGCAAAAUGUAGGUUGGG